GCAAGUCGAACGGCAGCAUAGAGAGCUUGCUCUCUGAUGGCGAGUGGCGAACGGGUGAGUAACGCGUAGGAAUAUACCUUUUAGUUGGGGACAACUCGAGGAAACUCGAGCUAAUACCGAAUGUGGUCUACGGACUAAAGCGGGGGAUCUUCGGACCUCGCGCUAGGAGAUUAGCCUGCGUCCGAUUAGCUUGUUGGUGGGGUAAAGGCCUACCAAGGCGACGAUCGGUAGCUGGUCUGAGAGGAUGAUC
Molecule: ribosomal RNA, 250 nt
Filed under: uncultured bacterium
Lineage: Bacteria
Description: partial 16S ribosomal RNA
Rfam family: Bacterial small subunit ribosomal RNA
Source: RNAcentral